GCCUCCAAGAGACUGGUGUCGUGACCCUAAAUGUUCUCGCAAUUUGUGACAAUUUCUGUGUUUAACAGUAACUUACAUCGUUUGAAACAAGUCGAACUAUUGAUUUUGUCAUUUCAGUUCUCGGCGAUGGACUAGCAAUUACGACUACUGGCUGAUUUUUUGAAUAUUACGAUAGCGAUUCUUGGAAUCCCGAAGACGACUCGGUCACCAGAAACUGAAUUCGGCAAUGGAAAAAACUGGCAAUGACACCAACUCACAUGGACUUGAGGAAGAAGCUGCUGUCGAAUCAAGUUAUUCUUCAUCUCCUGGAACAAGUUCAUCAGAUGAAUCUGAUGGAUGUGAUUCUGAGCCAGACACUAGAAAUCCUGCUGUCAAGAAACAACCCAAAGGCCGGAAAGAAGACUCUCAAUGGGAAAAGUGAAAUUCUAAAUUAUAUCAAUGUUUCUGGAACAAUGGCAGAUGAAGAGCUUACCAGACAACCAAAAUUGUACAAAAUUGUUGCACCAGCAGUGACAGACUCUACGAGGCCAAUUCUCACCAAACAGCUGAACUAUGCAGCUGCCAAACGUAAAAGAAAGCCAAAAUCUAUUGCUGAGCCUUUCAAAAGUUUCCAGGAUGACAAGGAGGAGCAAGAAGUAUAUUCCAUGGUGGGAAUGAUGAUUGAUUUGUUGGCUCGCCAUCAACCAAGUAUGCACGUUGCUUACCUUGCAGUAACACAAGUUCGCGAUUUCCUGAUUCCACUUAAAGAGCAAAAUUCAAACGCCUAACUGAGGGACAAGGCAGUUCAAUCCCCUGUCCGGCCAGAGAUCCAACCAAUCGAAGGUGAAGAUUUGCACGUUGGUCAUCGAUGGGCAUUUUCGCCCGACAAAUCAACAGCCCAUGAAGAUCAAUCAGAUGAGGCCUCCUCAUCCAACAGCAGCAGCGUUACACCUCGACCAAAAUUGUGGCCAGGCCAAGCAUUUAACACUGAUGGUAGUGCUGGAGUGAGUUCGCCACAUCCUUACCCGUUAACCCAGUGCCUCAAAGUGCGCAACAUGUUUGACGCCGAAGUAGAGCAGGGCGAUUCAUGGCCGGUGCGUAUUCAGAACGUAAUUUUGGAGAAGGCCGAUAACAAGGGGGAUAUUUUGCAUAUGGCUGUUGAUCGUGAUUCGCGAGAAGGUUGUGUUUACAUCAAGUGUGCAAGUGCUGAUGAUGCCGGCAAGGUAUACCACUCGCUCCACGGCUGGUGGUUUGAUGGCAAUUUGGUCACAGUCAAGUACCUUAGUC
Daphnia pulicaria is the source of this 1266-nucleotide long non-coding RNA. RefSeq lists it as uncharacterized. NCBI's taxonomy places the organism in Eukaryota, Metazoa, Arthropoda, Branchiopoda, Diplostraca, Daphniidae. The record is from RefSeq and is a predicted model, not a curated record. The transcript has 3 exons.